Molecule: ribosomal RNA, 88 nt
Filed under: uncultured bacterium
Lineage: Bacteria
Description: partial 16S ribosomal RNA
Source: RNAcentral
ACACCGCCCGUCAAGCCAUGGAAGCCGGGGUACCUCGAAGACGGUGACUUUACAGGGAGCUGUCUAAGGUAAACUGGUGACUGGGGCU